Molecule: ribosomal RNA, 539 nt
Filed under: uncultured Glomeromycotina
Lineage: Eukaryota; Fungi; Glomeromycota
Description: SSU rRNA
Rfam family: Eukaryotic small subunit ribosomal RNA
Source: RNAcentral
GGGCAAGUCUGGUGCCAGCAGCCGCGGUAAUUCCAGCUCCAAUAGCGUAUAUUAAAGUUGUUGCAGUUAAAAAGCUCGUAGUUGAAUUUCGGGGUUCUACCGUUGGUCGGGCUUUGUCUGUACUGGUGUGUAGAAUUUCUACCUUCUGGGGAACCAUCAUGCUAUUAAUUUAGCGUGGUGGGAAACCAGGACCUUUACCUUGAAAAAAUUAGUGUGUUCAAAGCAGGCUUAUGUCUGAAUACAUUAGCGUGGAAUAAUAGAAUAGGACGGUGGUCCUGUUUUGUUGGUUUCUGAAUCACCGUAAUGAUUAAUAGGGAUAGUUGGGGGCAUUAGUAUUCAAUUGUCAGAGGUGAAAUUCUUGGAUUUAUUGAAGACUAACUUCUGCGAAAGCAUUUGCCAAGGAUGUUUUCAUUAAUCAAGAACGAAAGUUAGGGGAUCGAAGACGAUCAGAUACCGUCGUAGUCUUAACCAUAAACUAUGCCGACUAGGGAUCGGACGAUGUUAAUUUUUCUUGACUCGUUCGGCGCCUUACGGGAAAC